UGAAGUGACGAACCACGAAUGUAGCCAGCAGAAUAUUGCUGAGGAGUUGGCUAAUAAUGAACUGGCGACAACGGGGAGCAUCAUGGCGGAGGUGGAGAAGAUUGCUGAUGAAAAUGUCGGCGAUUUCUUCCGACGAACCCACAGGAAGCACUGCAGUUUCAACGUACCGGUGGAUAUGAGAACAGUUCCGGCCUCCGCUCACAGCCAUGGAACGCUCCUCACAUGUGUGAAGUACUUUACACCUCAAUCAAGAUCAGGGGACGGAGGCAUCGCUUGGGGCUCGUAGUGAUGCAAGAACUGGUAUAUGCGUACAUACAUGGCACUAGCCCGAAUAUCCCUCUAGCACGAGUGGGAUAGCACGAAUAUUAUCUGUUUUAGUUUCGCUACAUGCCGAUACGGUGUUUCCCUCUGGCUGAGAAUGGCGAAGCUGUAUUCCAGUCAAAUCUGCAUCAAGAUGUACCUUCCAUGUAACUAUGGUGGAGGAAAGGGACUGCAUGAGACCAGUGUGAUUUGUUUUACUAUGUGCAAUCAACCUAUUCAUGUACACACGCUUAUUUAAUUUGGGGACACAGGAAGGACUCCGUGCAAUGAGUUCUUUUUAAUGUAUUUAUAUGUACGUCAUAAUAUUUGCAUGCUAUGAAAUGAAUCGAACACUCCCUAGUACCUUGCAAACACAACAACGAAGCAAAUGUGCAUCUGAAUAGCCUUUGCUGAUGUUUAAUUUCCACUGCAAUUUUGUUUGUGCAAAUAAGCCCAUACAAAUUUCUUGCUCAAUGUAUACGAUAAUUGAAAUAAAUACACUUGUAACAAAUA
Ornithodoros turicata is the source of this 813-nucleotide long non-coding RNA. RefSeq lists it as uncharacterized. The record is from RefSeq and is a predicted model, not a curated record. Lineage: Eukaryota; Metazoa; Arthropoda; Arachnida; Ixodida; Argasidae. The transcript has 2 exons.